Molecule: long non-coding RNA, 4115 nt
Filed under: Zea mays
Lineage: Eukaryota; Viridiplantae; Streptophyta; Magnoliopsida; Poales; Poaceae
Description: long non-coding RNA (ZMAY_LNC003466)
Source: RNAcentral
UAGCUCGGUAGGGCAGCAAGUACAUCUUCUGCGACGUCUUGAAACAGCGUGUGUGAUACAGUAUAUUCAUUCAGGAAUACGACAGUGGCAUUGCAGUUGCAGGUGUACGGGGCUACAGGCACAGACCUCGUCCCGGUCCGCGGGUUGGGGCAUUUGAUCGGGAUAAAAUUGUCCUUCAUGAUCAGGCUUAAAUCUUCUACUUAUUUUGUCUUUAUGAAUUACAGUAAGUUUUAAACCAGCCACAGCGAACACGCUGAUGCAUGACUGUAAAAAUCCGUGGAAUGGCAGCUGUGACCUGUGAGAGAGGUAAAAGACGAAACUGUUCAGACAAAGAAAGACACAAGAUGAAUUCAGAUUCAAAGUAAAGGGCAGAAAAACAAUCAUAGUGUCAGGAUUCACUCCAAUUUAAUACGCCCACUUGCCGGCUAGAGCUCUCAUACUGUGAUAGCAAUCGUUAAUAUUACAGGUGUAGUUUGAAACAAUAGACACGGAAAAGCAUAACCAGCUAUAAUUUGCAAAUCCGGCUGUUGAAAAGAAUAAUGCCUAAACAAAAUUACUCCUUGGUAACAAAACUACAAGCCCCGAACCCGGGUGAUAUGUAAGUAUGGGUGGUAAUAGUCUUUAGAUUUUACAACAUAAAAUUUAGGUCGAAUCAGUUUAGAUUCUAUUCCUAUUUUUUAACUAAAAUUAAUAAAAACUAUAAUUUACUAUGAAAAAGUAUUUAGAUGGUGAUCCACUUCACCGGAGCUGGAGCUAGAGCCAGCUCAUCAGAGAGGACUGUGGCUGGCAUCUUCUCUUGGAUGAAAGCAGUGGCCUAGAUUGUCAGGCUGUCAGGUAUUGAGGUAACUAACCUAUUGGUAAAAAUAAUUUCCACCAAUAUGGAACAAAAAUCCCAUCAUGGUAAAAGACUAAAAGUGAACCGCGUCCCUAGGAUCCAUCUUGCUCACCCAUUUCUUCCACAGUCGAAGCACUCCCCGCCUUCCCCCAUUUUUCAACGGUUGGUAGACUGUAAAUAAAAAUCAUAAGCUAAUGACCCCUCAACAAGCUAUAUAUUUAAAAAAAUCCUGGAGCCGAACCAAAUCUCUCUCCUCCCUAACCCCCAAGCCGGUGUGCUGCCCCAGCACCAGCAGCAGCUAUUCGAGCUCAACCAUCCAAAACUCCCAGGGCGCUAGCUCUUCGUUGAUAAAAACACCCCUGCUUCCCUUCCUGCCUGCACACCACAUCUCAAUCUUUGCUGCGAGCUCCCGAUCUGUGGUACUUCCGGCAUCGCGAACUGAAGUUUACCACCGAUCCGUUGGCUCCUUGGCAUUCCUUUUCCUCCAGCAGCGGCAAAGUCUCCAUCUUUUUGCCAGCCGACUUGAGGAAUGGGGUGCAUGACGCUGCUUGGAGUAGACGCAAGCUUUAUGGAAGGUCAGAUUCUUGUUUUUCAUUAAUCCAUUGAUGUAUGGAGCUGGUCGGCUGUUGAAUCGGUCCCUGUUUCUGUUUCUUUUUCGUUCAUAAUUUUUAAAAAAUACUUCAUCUGGUUAUUAGAUGCGUAUCGUUUGUAUUUAUAUAGCUUCCAAUUGGUUACAUGCAUGCAGUUUGAUUUGAAUCCAUCGGUUCUCGAUACGCAUCCUUGUUUCUGUUUCUUGUUCUUAGUUUCGUUCACAGUUUUUUUUAGAAAAAACCCGGGCCUUUUCGUUUUACUUUAUUUGAUUAGAUGCGUAUUGCUUUUUUCAUGUGGGUAUAUGUAAUGAAUCGAUUUCGAUUGACAUGGAUCUCAAUAGACCUCGUAGUUCAUCCUCUCUUCUUUUCUCUCGAAGGAUAAGUUACAUACACAAUCCAAUCUCCAUUACGAUAUUUGGUCCUUAACUACCCAGAUUUCUGAGCAUACUCGUGGUUCUGCUUCUGCAGAAUUCUAGUACUUCAUUCCCAACAAGCAAUCAGAUAAAAACGAAAGGAGCAACUUCAACAGAACCUGCGGCUCCAGUGAUUGGACCGACCGAUAUUUGCAAACUGCUGAAAUUGAAUCCAUGGGUAGAGGAAGAGGAAGAGGGAAGAAGCUAACCACUGUCAGGAGCCACGAAGAUAAAGGUAGCAGCGGCGAAGAAGUUGUGCCUGCAAAAAAGAGGAGGGGAAGGCCCCAAAAGCGCUUCGCCAGUAAGAUCGAUCAGGCAGUCGAUGUUGAAAAUUUUGUAGAAAAGGUGGACGGCGACCAAGAAGAAGCUGACGAUGGCAAGCUGAAGAACAGCGCCGCAGCUGGCGGUAACAAGAGAGGCAGGCCGUUGAAAGAGGGCUCCAAUAUUGUCGUAGAAGAUAACAACUCUAUUGUCCCAUCGAGCAGUGAUGAAUCAACAAGGACCAACGGGUUCAGGCAGAUCGGGAGCCGGCGGAAAAACAAGCCCCGGCGAGCAGCAGAGGCAGGACUAGAAUGCAAGUGAAGCAUCCCUGCGAGUUUCAGUGCAAGGCAGCAUCCAAUUUUUUUGCAAUAUCGUCAUGUCUAUUAGCUCCCAGUCCCAGUGCUGAAAAGCGAAAUGUAAACUAGCAUUGUCUGAUUGCAUGCCUCAGUUUUUUUCCCCCUUGGCCCCAAGUGUAUGAACUAAUGGUACACCUACUUGUUCAGCUGCUCUAGGCCUGAUUCUAUUUGGAGCUUGUUGUGGCAGAGAUUUCAUCUCAGUUUACAAAGGCUAGUGAUGCUAGAAGGUGUUCCUGCCAUUUUGAGUGAUCUGGUCUUCUCCUUUGCUCUUACUGCAACUAUUCAUUUAUUUGUACUUCACUAAAGUUCUGGAAAUGAAAAGGAGCAUAAGUGCUGACUUGAGGAUCUGUUAUCUGCUGUUCUUAGGUCGCUAAACUAAUAUCUAAACGUAUAUAGUUUGCUUGGCUAAUCUGGUUACUUGAUCUAGGAUUAUCUUGUAUGGAUAAGGAUUUACAUUUACCAUAUCUGAGUACAUUUAGCUCAACUUGGAUUGGACUCGGAUUUCAUCAUUUAUAUUCAUGAAUGCGAAAAUAACCUUUAAGACCCGUUUGUUUCGUUGGAAUUAAAUUUCAUUCUAAUAAUCAUAAUUUAGACACAAACUAAUUAAAUUAAUAUAUUUGUAUAUGUAAUAUAUUUGAUUGUUAUUCUAAAUCAUAUGAGAGAGAUAACUGCAUUUAUGCUAUAGAAAAAUAAGUAGAAGAGUGUGCUAUGAGUUGUAUAUUAGAAAAGUAGCUUGUAAAUAUGUAAAAUUAAUUUUUAUCUCUCACCUAUUAAUUUGAGAUAUGCUUAGACUGUCUCUAUCUAUUCUCUAUAUAUCUAUCAUUUACAGUCUUCUCUAAAAAAUUCAUCAUCUAUAUAUCUUUUCUCUUCAACAACGUCCUCUAAAUCACAUCAUCUAUACGCAAAUACUCAUAUUAAAGACAUUUUUUUGUGUACAUACGUAUUUGUCAUAUUCUCAAAUCAUAUUCUCAAAUGUACUGUAUAUAUUUUAAUUUUGCUAAACUGGUUGUUUAAAAUAUUCAAACGGAUAGACCGAUAGAGGGACAUUUAGAGAAACUCUAUAUGUAAAGUAGCUAACAACGUUCUCUAAAUUUAGAGAACUAUUUAGAGGACGUUGCUGGAGGUAGUAGAGAACCAUUCAACCCUCUAUAUUUAGGAUAGAGAAGCCUUUACAGUCUCUGUUGAAGAGAACCUUAUAUAUAAACUUAGAAAGUUGUGUAAUGUCAUAUUCUAAAAAAUAGACAACUCCAUUCCAAUUCCUUAAAAUAAAGUAAACAAAGGUUUAAGAUAGAUGCCUAUAGAUUUGUACUAGUACACCGUUCGAUUCGAAUUCGAUGCCUAUUUCAGGCUUCGUAAGAAUGGAAGGCAUCAGUGUUCAGUGGAAUUUGAUCCUUCGUUCUUUUCAGGAAACUGAAUUUGAUCAGGCAUCAGUGUUCAAUGGAAUUUGAUCCUUCGUUCUCUUCAGGAAACUGAAUUUGAUCUUUCGUUAUUUGAAUUAAAACGCAAGAACAAAAUGUACCGUGAUCCUGACACCCGGAGUGGAAUGGAAUGGCAAUGGCACUGCCAUAGGACUCGAUGCGAACCCGACACGGGACAAGGUCGGCAGAGGGCUUUUUGGCAAAAAGCUGCGGCACUUUGCGACCCACACCCACCGCCGGUG